UACGGGUAUUAUCGUAAUAAUUCGCUUUGAAUGACUACCCAGGAUUUCCUCCGUUUCUUUUUUUUCUCUCUCUAUUUUCUUUAGAUUUUCUCUCUCUUCCUCUACACUAUCUGUGAAGCGAUUUUCUUUGAUAUGCUCUUCGAUUUCUUCCGUUUUGUUCAUCAAUUUGUCGCAUUUUCUUGUUAAGUUUUACUCCUCUUUGUGGCGAAUUUUUCUCCAACGAUAUACAGCUAAGGUGCGGAGAUGGAUGUCAUCCCGCUUCACACUUCCAUAACAAGUAGACUGAGUUAUACUACAUAUUGUUGCUCUUGUACAAUAUGUAUUACAUACUAUAUUACAAGAGUAGCAGCAAAAUAUAUUGCUAUUAAGUUAUAUAGUCUUAUUUGAGAAGACUAUAUAAAGAGCAGAUAUAGGGAAUUGCAGAUUGAGCUAUAUUACAAGAAUAGCAGUCUGCAGAUACAGGGAAUUGCAUAUGCGUAAAUGAACUAAACAACUUAGCUAUCUGAACAAGUAAGAACGAUCUAAAACCCCCAGCGAGUGUACAUACACUUUAUUGAUUAUUGUGUUUACCUUUUAGAUUGUUUGGUUUACUUUUGAAUAAUUUUUAUUUAAUACAUACGGAUGUUUUAUUUACACACUCAAUUCUUUAUGCUGCCUUGAUUUGCAAUGACUCUUUUUUGUCACUAACCUACUAGCUUAAUUGGUAGGCUGCAACUGCUGCUCUGGAGGCCCUGCCAAGCCUGCAGCUGCUGCUCUGGAGGCCUUGCCAAGCCUGCAGCUGCUGCUCUACCAAUGCUGCUUAGGUUGCUGCUACAGCUGCUGCCCCGACAUGGCCUGCUGCUGCAGCUGCUGCCCUGCCAUGGCUUGCUACUACAGCUGCUACUUUUGCGCUGCCAAGGGUGCUGUUGCAACUGCUGCUUUGAUUUUCAUUUUUUGAUUUUAUCUACUUUUUCAACAUGUCCCUUCUCAUUGUGGACAUGGUCCUUUCUGCAUAUAUAUUAGGAUAGUAAUUAAGCUUUUCUUAUUUACUUUUGAGUAUUUUUAUUUACUUUUGUGAUUUUUCAGUAUAUAGACAAAAAAAAAACGAUCGAUUGUGUCAACUAAUUAUUCUUACUCUAUAAUAGCCUACUAGCUCAAUAGUUAGAGCAUUGUGCAAGUGCACAAAAGAUGUGGGUUCGAAUCCCACGUAGGUUCUUCUAACGCCUCGAACCAUUGUAAUGUAAUUAUUUUUUUUAAUACUUUUGAGUUUUUCUAAUUUUCAUUUGAGUAAAUAUUAACUAC
This is a long non-coding RNA of Chenopodium quinoa (quinoa), 1281 nucleotides long. RefSeq lists it as uncharacterized. The record is from RefSeq and is a predicted model, not a curated record. NCBI's taxonomy places the organism in Eukaryota, Viridiplantae, Streptophyta, Magnoliopsida, Caryophyllales, Amaranthaceae. The transcript has 3 exons.